Molecule: long non-coding RNA, 1698 nt
Organism: Homo sapiens (human)
Lineage: Eukaryota; Metazoa; Chordata; Mammalia; Primates; Hominidae
Gene: TMEM11-DT
Product: TMEM11 divergent transcript
Source: Ensembl
GGGGUCGCCGGGGCCCGUAGUCCUUCUGCGAGGGCGCGAGGACUCCAGGAGCCGUCCUGGUUCGAGCAUUUCUGAAGAAACUGAGUUCCCGGCGUUCGCAGCCUGGGAGUCACAGGCGCCCACCCACCGGUGUUGGAAGGGCAUGAGAAACAAGGGGAGAACAAGGGCACCCAAAGCCUGACCCCCACAAGGCUAGAGGAGCAACAGGAAAAUUCGUUUCCAGAGACUGAUUCCUCAGCUGCUGAGCAGGAGCCUGGAGCCACACUUGCUGCCUGGUACUACUGACACACAACUGGAACCACCGCUGUGGCCUGGGGUGCCACCAGAAGCCAGAGAUUAGAAUUGCUUUCCCCAUCUCAUAUCUUCCAAACUCCCACCAGUGCCUCCCACUGGCUGAGUCAGAUGACAAGGGAGUCUGGGAAAUGUAGUUGUUUGGCUUCCAGCCCUGACCAUGGAGAGUAUAGAAAGGCAGGUGUAGGGGAGAAAAUAGAUGCCAUUCACACAGCGCCUAUCUUGCAGGGCUGUUUUGAGGAGUAAAAACUCAGCCUAUUUUUAUUCCUCAUAGCAUGUAGUAGCAUUCAGGGAAAGGCAAAUCUUCCAAAACAAUAUCUUAGGUAUAAUAGUUCUACAUAAAGGUUUGAAUUUACCAUUAAAAGCAUCAAAAUGAGCAUUUUAAAAGUAGAAUUUUAAGUCUGAAUGGGCAGUAUAUUCACAUGGUAUAAAAUUCAAAUUACAAAACAAUAUACAGUGAAAAAUAAGGGGGUUUUUUUGCUCAUCUUCUUGUGACCUGGCUCUUUCCAUCUCUGUCCACAACCCUCUGCAGGCAAUAACUGGUACCUUUGUUAUGGAUCCUCUGCAGAUAUAAAGUAGACAUAUAUUAACAAAUGUUUUCUUUGGCCCAGAGGAUGCAUAUUAUGCACAUUCCUCCAUUUCUUGUUUGUUUUUGUUUUUUCCACUUAAUUGUAUCUUGGAGAUCACUCUGUAUCAGUAUAUAUCUGAUUUGUUUUAGCAGUACAUGAUAAUCCAUUGUUUGGAUAUGCCAUAAUUGUAUCAGCCAGUCUCUGGACAGUCUUUUACUAUUUCAAGGAGUGCUGCAGUAAACAUGUUUGCGCCACUUCCUGGUACCCAUUGCAAAUAAAACUGGGAUAAUUUCCUGACGAGAACUUGCUGGGUCAGAGUGUAGGCACUUGUUGUUUUGAUAAAUAUUGCCAGACUACACCCCACUCCCUCCAGCAGUACAUGACACUGCCUAUUUCCCCACAGCUGUGCCAGCAUGGUCUGUUAGCAAGUGUUUUCUUUUUGCAAAUUUAAAAGUGGUAUCUCGCUAAAUGCAAUAUGGUAGCAGAGGACAUUUGUGGAAAAACAGGUGAAAUCUGGGCUGGGUGUGGUGGCUCAUGCCUAUAAUCCCAGCACUUUGGGAGGCCGAGGCAGGCGGAUCACAAGGUCAGGAGUUCGAGACCAGCCUGGCCAAUAUAGUGAAACCCCGUCUCUACUAAAAAUACCAAAAAAAGUUAGCUGGGCAUGGUGGUGCAAGCCUGUAAUCUCAGCUACUCGGGAAGCUGAGUCAGGAGAAUCGCUUGAACCUGGGAGGCGGAGGUUGCAGUGAGCCAAGAUCAUGCCACUGCACUCCAGCCUGGGUGAUGGAGUGAGACUCUGUCUCAAGAAAGGAAAAAAAAAACAAAAAACAGGUGAAAUCUG